GUUUCAAAAUGGCGAAUUAUCGUGGGACACUCGUUAAAUCAUAUCUCUUGUGACUCGUCUUGGUUCAGCCCUGACACUGGCCAUCGCUCUUCGGAAUCAUGUUUUUCAGGGUGUCACCUCUGCAUGUUGACAUUGUUAUCGAUUUGAACGUGAAAGCUGCCUCAUCAAACGUUCUCACAGUUGUACGUUUUACUCCCCUUAACUAUACAACAGAUGCACGUGAAGUCAUAGACUGGCUUUUAUUUUGUAUUAGUUAACUCCAAGGAACAAGCGGAACGCAAACAUCGUCAUGUUGAUAUUUUAGGGAAGGAGAAGGUGGUGACGACGAGGAGCUGCCGGAGGAAGAGUCUGCAGCUUUUAGAAAUGUGAAUUUUCAGGAAAUUCUGAUCUGUCUGAGUCAGAGCAUCUGCUGUAUUUAUCACUCUUCAGGGGAACAAGCCCCUAAAACUCAGUGCUACGGUUCAGGCUCAGUAAAACACAUGCAUGCAUCAUAUCUGUUGACAUGGUUCAAACAAGAGAUUUUCACAUUUCUAGACUAUCAACUUAAGAUACAUCCAACUAAGCUAAAGAAUUAUUGGUGUAUUUCCAGAAUUCCACAUUUCCAGACUACUGAGAUAAAUGUGAUGAAUUUGAUGUGCAGCACAUUCCAUUGUGAUGACAUGUUCUGUGCUCUUCUACCCCAAGUUAAAGCCCAAUUUGUUUAUAUUGAGACAAAGAACUCCUAACAAUAAUUGCAGAUGUGCACAUCUUAACCCUUUACUUCCUGGAAGUGAUUAACAUGUAGCUUCUCCUUGUUGUAUCCAUAAGGUAAUGAGAAUACCUUCAAGUUUUUAUCUUGAUCUAACCUCAAAUUCUUGUAAUUAAUUUACAAUGAAAUGUAUAGCAGCUGAAGGGGAGAAGUAGCAAUCAGUCCUUGGAAGUUAAUGGGUUAUAAGCUUCAGAGAACAGAAAGCAUUAUGGUUAUAAAUGUUUUGAAUACUAAAGAUUAAAAUUGUCAGUAGCUGACAGAUUCACAUGUUCAUGUAAAUAGGGUAUUGAAUAUUUGUUAACUUGUGAAAGAAACUUGAUUAAAAAUAGGGUCAAGCAAUUUUUCAUUGUGUGUUAACCCUUUAAGCCUUUCACUCCCAUGAGUGACCAAGACAGAAUUUCUCCUUACAAUAUCAAUACAAUAUCAAGCAGACAAGUGAUGGGAUUGAAGAA
Molecule: non-coding RNA, 1200 nt
Organism: Pocillopora verrucosa
Lineage: Eukaryota; Metazoa; Cnidaria; Anthozoa; Scleractinia; Pocilloporidae
Source: RefSeq, a predicted model, not a curated record